GCCAGCAUGGCAGAGUGGUUUGAGUGUUGGACUACAACUCUGGAGAUCAGGGUUCGAUUCUCAGCUGGGC
Molecule: transfer RNA, 70 nt
Filed under: Phrynosoma platyrhinos (Desert horned lizard)
Lineage: Eukaryota; Metazoa; Chordata; Lepidosauria; Squamata; Phrynosomatidae
Description: tRNA-OTHER
Source: RNAcentral